GAACUGCGAUAAGUAAUGUGAAUUGCAGAAUUCAGUGAAUCAUCGAGUCUUUGAACGCACAUUGCGCCCCCUGGCAUUCCGGGGGCCAUGCCUGUCCGAGCGUCAUUGCUGCCCUUCAAGCCCGGCUUGUGUGUUGGGUCGUCGUCCCCCCCGGGGGACGGACCCGAAAGGCAGCGGCGGCACCGUGUCCGGUCCUCGAGCGUAUGGGGCUUUGUCACCCGCUCGAUUAGGACCGGCCGGGCGCCCGCCGGCGUCAAACCCCAAUCUUUCUAAGGUUGACCUCGGAUCAGGUAGGGAUACCCGCUGAACUUAAGC
This 315-nucleotide unclassified non-coding RNA is filed under the name plant metagenome. RNAcentral describes it as "partial contains 5.8S ribosomal RNA, internal transcribed spacer 2, and large subunit ribosomal RNA". The stretch from base 1 to 105 matches the Rfam family "5.8S ribosomal RNA", at positions 50 to 154 of the family's 154-position model. The record is from RNAcentral.